UUAUAGAAAUUAUAAACGGUAAAUAUGUUAUAACAACAUAACAUAGGCUUACUAAUGAUUACUAAAAAGAUAAAACGAAUAGUAUUACCUGUAACUAUCCUAACUGACAAUGCCUGUAACAGCCAGACAACAAUGACACUUUUUUUACUCAUGACGGUUAGCGCCAACACCAUAUACCUACAUUAUCAGCAACACAUUACAGCUUAGAAAGACUAAUACUAGCAAGAUGAUGUACAGCAGCUGAUUUUUAAGUAUUUGUGUAAGAGUUUCGAAACAUGUAUGCACCGUAUUUUGUAGUUUCGUUUAUUUUUUUUAAUGAACAGGACAGUAUAUUCGUCGAAUGGUUAGUAAGUUUCGAUACGUAAUACUGUAUAUGUUUAGAUAAUAAUUCUUUCCUACGACGCGCACCGAUGCGUCCAGCAGACAUCAGUUUCAUAAGUUCUUCAUAAACGUUUCGAUGCUAUCAAUUAGAAAGAAAUACAAAAAUACAAACAUUUCUUUGAAUUAUUAGUUAUUAUUUGUUUAUUUCCGUCUUAGGGAAUUACACCAGUUACGCAAGACAUAGAAGAUCUGGUUGCGAUAUUCAAAAAAUUAUUACAAAGCAAUGAGCUUAUUAAAUCCAGAUAUAUACGAAUAUUUUUUUUUUAAAUAAACGUGGUAAAAGCUAAAAUGGAUACUGAAAAUCUUCUAGUGAUUUCCUAAUUAUUAAAUUCAUGAUCUUGUUUCAGUGGUAUACCAGUACAUUUUUUACGGUUUAAUUUGCUAAUUAAAACUUAAAAGGUAGGCAUUGAUGCCAUAUUGGUCAAAAUGUUUAAUUUAACGCAGGCUAAUACUGCUCAACAAACAAGAAACAUGGACCCAUAUACACUUUCAGAUAUUGAUUGGAGCAUUAGUUAUUAUUUGUUUAUUUCUGUCUAAGGGAAUCAUUCUAAUUGCGCAAGAUAUAGAAUGGCUGGUUUCGUAGUUCAAAAUGAAUUACAAAGCAACUUGAGGUGGUGACAAUUUGUGCUCGUGGUCUUCAGGUUUUCAGUGCAGUCAUCAUACAUUAUUACUGCAUAACCAUUAAAUACAUAGACAGAAAAUAUCUUGAGAAUAAUGCUGUGUGCAAACUUACAAACAGUGUGGAUUAAAUGAGCAGAUCCCAAUGAAGAUUAAGGCAGGUAUAUUCCGACCCGUCCAGCAAAUGUUAGGAUGACACCAAUAAACGUGCCAACGAAGAAAAUUCCAAUUAUCAGACCAGUGAGACUGGUUGCAA
This 1255-nucleotide long non-coding RNA is filed under the name Anneissia japonica. Its description in RNAcentral is "uncharacterized LOC117104909, transcript variant X1". Lineage: Eukaryota; Metazoa; Echinodermata; Crinoidea; Comatulida; Comatulidae. The record is from RNAcentral.